Molecule: ribosomal RNA, 1325 nt
Filed under: Parachronistis sp.
Lineage: Eukaryota; Metazoa; Arthropoda; Insecta; Lepidoptera; Gelechiidae
Description: 16S ribosomal RNA
Source: RNAcentral
GGGGGAAAAAUUAAUAAAAUUAAAAUAAAAAAAAUUUUUUUAAAUACAAAAGGGGUUAAAGUAUUUAUAAAGAAAAAAUUUUAAAAUUUAUAGUAGAAUAGUUUUGUGGGGGAAUUUUGAAAUAAGUUAAAAAUAAUUUAAAUGAAAGUAAUUUUAGUUUAAUGUAUCUUGGGUAUCAGAGUUUAUUAAUAAAAAAUUUUAAAUUAGAAUUUUCUCGAAUUUAAAAGAGUUAAUUAAUUAAUAAAAUUAUUGUAGCAAAAAUAUUUUAAAUAAUUAAUUUGAAAUGAAAUGUUAAUCGUUUUUAAAUAUAUCUAGUUUUUUUAGAAAAAAAUUUAAUUUUAAAUUUUGUUAAAAUUAUUUAAAUUAAAAUAAAUAAUUUAAUUAAAAUUUUAUAGUUUAGGGGAUAAGCUUUAAAUUAAAAUAUUAUAAUAAGAUAAAAUUAAAUUAAAAUUUUUAUAAUUUAAAUUGUUAAUAAAUUUUAAUUUUUUAUAAAUAAUUUUAAUGAGAAAAAAAUUUAAUAAAUGAAUUUAAUUUUAUAUAAAAAAAUAAAUUUAAAUAAUUUUAAUUUAAAUAUAAUGAUAAAAUUAGUAUAUUAUAAUAAUUUAAUAAAUAAAUUAUUUAAUUAUAAAAAAUUAAUUAGAAGGAAUUCGGCAAAAAUUUAUAUUCACUUGUUUAUCAAAAACAUGUCUUUUUGUUAAUAAUUUAAAGUCUAAUCUGCCCACUGAUGAAAAUUAAAGGGCUGCAGUAAUUUGACUGUACAAAGGUAGCAUAAUCAUUAGUCUCUUAAUUGGUGACUUGUAUGAAAGAUUGGAUGAAAUAUAAACUGUCUCAUAAUUAUAAAUAAAAUUUAAUUUUUUAAUUAAAAAGUUAAAAUAAUUUUAAAAGACGAGAAGACCCUAUAGAGUUUAAUAAAUUUAUAAUAAAUAAUUUUAUAUAAAAAGUUAAUAAAAAUUAAAAAAUUUAUUUUAUUGGGGUGAUAGAAAAAUUAAAUUAACUUUUUUUAAAUUAUAACAUAAAUAAGUGAUUAAUAGAUCCAAAAUUUUUGAUUUUAAGAAAAAAUUACCUUAGGGAUAACAGCGUAAUUUUUAUUUUUAGUUCUUAUAAGAAUAAAAGUUUGCGACCUCGAUGUUGGAUUAAGAUAAAAUUUAAAUGCAAAAGUUUAAAAUUUUGAUCUGUUCGAUCAUUAAAAUCUUACAUGAUCUGAGUUCAAACCGGUGUAAGCCAGGUUGGUUUCUAUCUUUAUAAAAAUAAAAUAUUUUAGUACGAAAGGAUCAAAUAUUUAAAAUAAUUUUAAUUUUUUGAAUUUUAAUAAAAUUUAUAUAAAA